RNAcentral lists this ribosomal RNA (749 nucleotides) under Paenarthrobacter nitroguajacolicus. RNAcentral's name for it is "bacterial SSU rRNA". It matches the Rfam family "Bacterial small subunit ribosomal RNA", at positions 71 to 832 of the family's 1533-position model. Lineage: Bacteria; Bacillati; Actinomycetota; Actinomycetes; Micrococcales; Micrococcaceae. The record is from RNAcentral.
GAUCCCAGCUUGCUGGGGGAUUAGUGGCGAACGGGUGAGUAACACGUGAGUAACCUGCCCUUGACUCUGGGAUAAGCCUGGGAAACUGGGUCUAAUACCGGAUACGACCAUCUGGCGCAUGUCAUGGUGGUGGAAAGCUUUUGUGGUUUUGGAUGGACUCGCGGCCUAUCAGCUUGUUGGUGGGGUAAUGGCCUACCAAGGCGACGACGGGUAGCCGGCCUGAGAGGGUGACCGGCCACACUGGGACUGAGACACGGCCCAGACUCCUACGGGAGGCAGCAGUGGGGAAUAUUGCACAAUGGGCGCAAGCCUGAUGCAGCGACGCCGCGUGAGGGAUGACGGCCUUCGGGUUGUAAACCUCUUUCAGUAGGGAAGAAGCCGUAAGGUGACGGUACCUGCAGAAGAAGCGCCGGCUAACUACGUGCCAGCAGCCGCGGUAAUACGUAGGGCGCAAGCGUUAUCCGGAAUUAUUGGGCGUAAAGAGCUCGUAGGCGGUUUGUCGCGUCUGCUGUGAAAGACCGGGGCUCAACUCCGGUUCUGCAGUGGGUACGGGCAGACUAGAGUGCAGUAGGGGAGACUGGAAUUCCUGGUGUAGCGGUGAAAUGCGCAGAUAUCAGGAGGAACACCGAUGGCGAAGGCAGGUCUCUGGGCUGUAACUGACGCUGAGGAGCGAAAGCAUGGGGAGCGAACAGGAUUAGAUACCCUGGUAGUCCAUGCCGUAAACGUUGGGCACUAGGUGUGGGGGACAU